GCAAGUCGAGCGAAAGAUAAAGAGCUUGCUCCUUUGACGUUAGCGGCGGACCCUUUAGUAACACGUGGAUAACCUACCUAUAAGACUGGAAUAACUUCGGGAAACCGGAGCUAAUACUGGAUAACAUAUUGAACCGCAUGGUUCAAUAGUGAAAGGCGGCUUUGCUGUCACUUAUAGAUGGAUCCGCGCCGUAUUAGCUAGUUGGGAAGGUGACGGCUUACCAAGGCAACGAUACGUAACCGACCUGAGAGGGUGAUCGGCCACACUGGAACUGACACACGGUCCAGACUCCUACGGGAGGCAACAAUAGGGAAUCUUCCGCAAUGGGCAAAAGCCUGACGGAGCAGCGCCGCGAGAGUGAUGAAGGUCUUCGGAUCGUAAAACUCUGUUAUCAAGGAAGAACAAAUGUGUAAGUAACUGUGCACAUCUUGACGGAACCUGAUCAGAAAGCCACGGCUAACUACGUGCCAGCAGCCGCGAUAAUACGUACGUGGCAAGCGUUAUCCGGAAUUAUUGGGCGUAAAGCGCGCGUAUGCGGUUUUUUAAGUCUGAUGUGAAAGCCCACGGCUCAACCGUGGAGGGUCAUUGGAAACUGGAAAACUUGAAUGCAAAAGAAGAAAGUGGAAUUCCAUGUGUAGCGGUGAAAUGCGCAGAGAUAUGGAGGAACACCAGUGACGAACGCGACUUUCUGGUCUGUAACUGACGCUGAUGUGCGAAAGCGUGCGGAUCAAACAGGAUUAGAUACCCUGGUAGUCCACGCCGUAUACGAUGAGUGCUAAGUGUUAGGGGGUUUCCCCCCCUUACUGCUGCAGCUAACGCAUUAAACACUCCGCCUGGGCAGUACGACCGC
This 850-nucleotide ribosomal RNA is filed under the name uncultured Bacillota bacterium. Its description in RNAcentral is "bacterial SSU rRNA". It matches the Rfam family "Bacterial small subunit ribosomal RNA", at positions 57 to 889 of the family's 1533-position model. Lineage: Bacteria; Bacillati; Bacillota. The record is from RNAcentral.